GCGUGAGCGAGCUCGCAGUGCUGCUUAUAUAAUAUACGCGAACGUGCACUGAAGAGAUUAGAUUAUCUCCGCACUCUGGUUCUUACUGAUUUAAUUAUUAGUCUAUUAUUUAUAAUGACGAACUGCAAUAAACGUGGCCCACCGGACAACUACCCUAAAUUGUCAAAGCGCUUCAAAUCAGCCGAUGGAUCUAUUGUUACGUCGACGAUGAAGCGUAAUUCAAAACUGAGCUCUGGUCGAAGAGGAGCAGCGUAGGAUCCGGGAACUUUACCGCUCUACAGCUAAGUCGCCAGAAAUGAGUGAUCCGAUUAGACCAUGCGAACCAACCCUCGACGAGAUGCCGUUAUCUCGCUGCACCGUAGAUCUAAAUAAUAAAAUGCUAGGUUCUCUUCAUCUAGUGUCGCAUUCCAUUAGUGAAAAAAAAAGGGGAUCAUUGAUUACAAUUUAUUUUUAUGGACCAAGGACACCUUCAAGUCCACUGACAUCAAUAAAUUGCCUAAAAAUCCGCAUUUUUUAAUUUUUUUAUUUAUGUGUAUAAAAGACUAAUAAAAAAUAUAAUAAUCCAAAA
Long non-coding RNA from Cotesia glomerata, 568 nucleotides. RefSeq lists it as uncharacterized. NCBI's taxonomy places the organism in Eukaryota, Metazoa, Arthropoda, Insecta, Hymenoptera, Braconidae. The transcript is spliced from 3 exons. The record is from RefSeq and is a predicted model, not a curated record.